RNAcentral lists this ribosomal RNA (407 nucleotides) under uncultured Eubacteriales bacterium. RNAcentral's name for it is "bacterial SSU rRNA". It matches the Rfam family "Bacterial small subunit ribosomal RNA", at positions 355 to 776 of the family's 1533-position model. Lineage: Bacteria; Bacillati; Bacillota; Clostridia; Eubacteriales. The record is from RNAcentral.
UGGGGAAUAUUGGGCAAUGGAGGCAACUCUGACCCAGCAACGCCGCGUGAGCGAUGAAGGUCUUCGGAUUGUAAAGCUCUUUAAGUGGGGACGAAGAAAGUGACUGUACCCACAGAAUAAGCCUCGGCUAACUACGUGCCAGCAGCCGCGGUAAUACGUAGGAGGCAAGCGUUAUCCGGAAUGACUGGGCGUAAAGGGUGCGUAGGUGGUUUGACAAGUUGGUAGCGUAACUCCGGGGCUCAACCUCGGAUCUACUACCAAAACUGUUGGGCUUGAGUGCAGGAGGGGUAAAUGGAAUUCCCAGUGUAGCGGUGGAAUGCGUAGAUAUUGGGAGGAACACCAGCGGCGAAGGCGAUUUACUGGACUGUAACUGACACUGAGGCACGAAAGCGUGGGGAGCAAACAGG